This 253-nucleotide ribosomal RNA is filed under the name uncultured bacterium. Its description in RNAcentral is "partial 16S ribosomal RNA". It matches the Rfam family "Bacterial small subunit ribosomal RNA", at positions 524 to 776 of the family's 1533-position model. The record is from RNAcentral.
UACGUAGGGUGCAAGCGUUAAUCGGAAUUACUGGGCGUAAAGCGUGCGCAGGCGGUUAUGUAAGACAGAUGUGAAAUCCCCGGGCUCAACCUGGGAACUGCAUUUGUGACUGUAGAGCUGGAGUGCGGCAGAGGGGGAUGGAAUUCCGCGUGUAGCAGUGAAAUGCGUAGAUAUGCGGAGGAACACCGAUGGCGAAGGCAAUCCCCUGGGCCUGCACUGACGCUCAUGCACGAAAGCGUGGGGAGCAAACAGG